RNAcentral lists this ribosomal RNA (465 nucleotides) under uncultured bacterium. RNAcentral describes it as "partial 16S ribosomal RNA". It matches the Rfam family "Bacterial small subunit ribosomal RNA", at positions 338 to 795 of the family's 1533-position model. The record is from RNAcentral.
CCUACGGGGGGCAGCAGUAGGGAAUCUUCCACAAUGGGCGAAAGCCUGAUGGAGCAACGCCGCGUGGGUGAAGAAGGUCUUCGGAUCGUAAAACCCUGUUGUUAGAGAAGAAAGUGCGUGAGAGUAACUGUUCACGUUUCGACGGUAUCUAACCAGAAAGCCACGGCUAACUACGUGCCAGCAGCCGCGGUAAUACGUAGGUGGCAAGAGUUAUCCGGAUUUAUUGGGCGUAAAGGGAACGCAGGCGGUCUUUUAAGUCUGAUGUGAAAGGCUUCGGCUUAACCGGAGUAGUGCAUGGGAAACUGGGAGACUUGAGUGCAGAAGAGGAGAGUGGAACUCCAUGUGUAGCGGUGAAAUGCGUAGAUAUAUGGAAGAACACCAGUGGCGAAAGCGGCUCUCUGGUCUGUAACUGACGCUGAGGUUCGAAGGCGUGGGUAGCAAACAGGAUUAGAUACCCGAGUAGUC